AAGCUGUUAUUCUUUCUCUGUCCAGAAACUCCAGUGUGUCCUUAAAUCCAUACUAUGUGUUCUAGUUUGGUGAAAGGAGCCGGUUAAAAAUGUUCAAAUUGUUCAAAUGACCACAACAACGGGAUGCGCCGCUGCCAUGACGUGCCGCCUCACAUCCAGGAUGGGGAAACCUGUUCAUUGGUCCCCGGGGCCGCGGCUAACGCCUGUGUGAACUGGAACUCAUACUACCCCAACAUGGGAGUCACCAGUUUCGAUAACAUCGGCCACACCUUGAUCGUCAUAUUACAGAUGGGCUCCCUCAUUAUUAUGAAGCGGUGCAUGGCCGUCUCUGAGAGCAUGGCGUGGCAGAGGAGAGAGAAGCAAGCCAAACCCUGUCGAACAGCUCUGUUUCCAGUUCCUCCGCUGGCUGUGGAUCAUCGCCCGCAACUGCAUCAGACCUCGUAAAACGGGUGAAAGCCCCUCGGCAGCAGGAGUAAGACCAGUCGCGCAAUGGGACGACAUACCUGGGAGCCAUCGAGGAGAAAACUUGGGAGGCUGAUCAUCAGCAAUCUCUUUGACCGAGUGAUCAUGUUAGCCGUCUUCCUCUGUAUUCUCACCAUGGCCAUAGAACAGCACGCAGGGGAGGAACAAAGUGCUGCUGUCUCAUUCACAACGUAAAGGAGGAGUUCACUACUCUUUUUUCUGUUCAUUCUUUUCUUUCUUGCUUAUUUUGUAUUGAUUGUUUAUGUUCUCACUCUUCCCUCCCUGCAUUUCCCCGUUCUCUGGCGACCUGUUACUCCCUCCCUCUCUUGCUCUCUCUCUCUCUUUUCCACCAGCCUAAGCAAGUGGUAGAGAUACUUAAGAUCAGUAACAUCAUCUUCACUCUCGUGUCUGUUGUGGAGCUGACAUUAAAGCUGCCGGUCCUCAAGUGGGCCUACUUCAAGGGACCGAAACAAUCUCUUUGAUUUUGCCGUCAUUAUCAUCAGCUUGUGAGAGAUACUUGCCAAAGCUGAUAGCAGGUUGGCUGCCCCAUGUGCGCUUCAUCUGCUGCGGUUUGAGCGGCUGCUUCACAGCCCUAACCCUGCCUUACUUGAAGAGACAGCUGCUGAGGAGGCAGCCCUGCUCUGCCAGCUGCUGCUGUUUUUCACCAUCAUUUCCAGGCACGCACCAUAUUCUUCCUCCCCAUGUGUCUGUUUCAGGAUAUCUGUCCUGUCACAAUGCUGUUUUAAUGCUAUAAUAAUCACCACAUUUGAGUGAUUGUGUCUCAGUUCUUGGGUGGUAGAUUUGCCUCAGAGACCCAGAGCGGAAGCACCAUCAAAGACCGGAUGAAUUUUGACUCGCUACUGUGGUCCAUGGUCACUGUGUUCCAGAGCCUGACUGAGGAGGACUAGAAUCUGGUGCUGUAUGAUGCUGUGGCUGCCACUUGCCCUUCUACUUUUGCACCAUCAUCGUGGUCGAAAAACACGUUCUGCUCAAUGUUCUCAUGGGCGUAUUAGUCUAGAGUUUUUGAGGAAAGCACAUUCAAACACUUGCAUACACACCUAUCCCAAACUCUUUGUUUUAGCACUCCUCAGAUUCAGAUGACGAAGACUUCAUCCAGCCAGACUUCUGAAAGCGAGUUUUCAUUGAGUGAAAACCACGAGACAAAUUUAAGUUCUGGUUCCUCAAGACCCAAUGAAGGCUGCCCUCUCUCUCUCCAUGUGAAUCCAGCAGCCCCACCAUGACAAGCUCUGCACCUACAGAUACCAACGACCACGACGUGUGUGCCGCAGCCGCGCCGUCAUUGGUGGAAAGGCUCUGCGCCCUGGUCGGUGAUUGGCUGCAGCCCCUGGUCACCUGAUAUAUAAAGUGCCAAGAUUCAUUUGAGUAGUAAGGGUGGGCUGCUAGUUUCGUUUCUCUUGUUUUCUCCUGUUUAUUUAAUUAGGAAGGUGAGUUUGUUGUCAUUUGUUUUCCUUUGGUUAGAUUAGUUGUUUACUUUCCAGACAGGGUUAUUAUGUUUAUUUUGUUGGCCUUAGUCCACCUUGAAGCCUAAACUCAGUAUUUAUUUUCUAUAUGUUCACUUAAAACCUUUAAGCAAAUAAAUCACUUUGGUUAUAUUUAAACCAAUCUUUGUUGUGGCUACUUGGGACUUGGAGAAGAUGGGGCCAGUUUAUGUUGUGUCCUAGCCCCCCCCCCCCCCCCCAGACUGGGGCAUAACACAUGUUUGUUUUGAAAUUAAGCCACACUUCCUUGAAUCCUUCGCUGUCGUUCACGCUGACUGCAUCUCGCGAAGGUGUGACGUCAUUGUUUCGCAGGGCACGCGGAACCAGGUGGAAAGCAUCAAUAAGGGAAUCGUUAAGCAUAAAGGCAAAUAAUGUUGAUGAAUCGCAGGGCUUAAACAGGGUUCCUGCGGGUCCUUAAAAAGUCUUAAAUUAAAAUCCGGGUAAUUAAGGUCUUAAAUUGUUGAUCCGCGAUUAAUAGCCGUUUUACGGUACGUCAGCGACGGACUGACGUCGGCCUGCGUGCAGCCAGUACGCACGGUUGUUGUCAAAGUGCGGUUCGAAAAGCAAAGAUGGGAAAGUGCAAAUUCAAUUACAAAUGGAUGGAGGAGGAUUCAUUUAGGAAGUGGUUGGCCCCCGCUGAAAAUAACAAUAAGGCAACGUGCACAUUUUUUAAAAAGACUUUUUCCUUAGGGACCACAGGUCUUAAAGCAGUUGAGGCGCAUAUGAGAGGAGUUAAGCACCAGCGGUAUGCGGCGGCAGCUAGCCGCAGCUGGGCCACAGCGGGGCCAGGCUAAUCCCUGCGUUGUUCGGAACACGAGCUAAAGAUACAAAUUCAGACGCCACCUCUCAAUCUGCUUUAAAAAGCUUCAUUUUACCACCAGAGACCCAAAAGGCAGAGGUACUGUGGGUUCUCCACACUGUGAUGAGGCAUAAUUCAUUUAAAUCUAAUGAGGAUAUAAGUGGCGUCUUUGCUGCCAUGUUCCCCGAUUCCCAGCGUGCAAAGUCAUUCACCUGUGGUGAAAAUAAAACGGUAUAUCUCGCCAAAUAUGGCAUAGCUUCAUUCAUCAAGAAGAUGAUAACAUUGGUCUUGUUUUUCAAACAGUUAUGUAAAUGAUUUUCAACAUUUUGGCUUUGGAGAGGCUGUUUUGAGGAGUUUGAUUAUUGAAGUUAUUUACAAUGGAGACUGCUUUAAGUGUUAUUUGGGAUAUUCAGUGUUAUUCUGUCCUUAUUUGGAAAAUGAUUGUUGGCUCUGUUCUGUGUCACAAUGGAAAGGAAAAUAGAAUGCAACUGUUUGCUUUGAUUGUGUUUAAAAUUAAAUUUGAGUAUUUUCUACCAAAGAAAUUGUUAUGACAUUUUUUAGUCUUUCUAGUCAGCAUUAAAUUUGAGUCUUAAAAUGGUGCAAGAACCCUGUUAAAGUAUUCCGGCACUGUGCCGGAUCUCCGGCAUAACACUGUGAGAGAGGUCCAUGAUGCCAGGAUGUUGAGGGCCUCUGACUUCUACACGACAUGGCAGGAGAAGAUGGGUGACAACAGCUUGCUGGGAGACAGCGCAUACAUCGGACAGGCAUUCCCUUUUGUCAUCUUGCCCAAAAGAGUCAACAAUAACAGCAAUGCUAACAAGAAUAACGGAAUCACAGUUUGUCUAAGAAUCGACACAUCAGGCCCUCAAACCCUCGCUGGGCUGACUUGAGCUGAGCCAGUAAGUCUUUGUGGCACCUCUGUGCCUCCUCAUGGCGCCUCUGACUGGCUUCCUCCGACUCCCGGAGGAACUGGAGGACGUCCUCAUGUUCCCGCCGACGCUUAUGAGGCCGUGUGUGUGUUGGUGCUGUGUGGGUGCUGGAGCAAGAAGCAGCCUCUGCUGGAGGUGCCGUGACAGCUGGAGGCCCAAGCACCUCUGGUCGCCUUACGUCAAGCCGACUCGGAGCUCAGAAAUCCCAACAUCCGAGUACAGCUGGAACGCACUAUUAGUCUCUGUGCUCCCCUUUGUCUUGGUCAGUUCGUCUUGUUUUCAUGGCUCAUGCUCCUGUGUUUCUGGUGUAUUUGGAUUUUCAGUUUUUGCUUGUGUUUUGCUCCUGCUUUUCUCUCCUGAUUAGUUUCCCCAGUGUUUCAGUUUUGUUCCUGGGUUUUGCCUCCAUUUUGGAUUUUGAGUUCUGUUAUUAAUUUCUUGUUAUUAAAAGACCUUUUUCCACCAACCCCCUUUUUUUGUAGUGUGCAUUUGGGUUAAAUUUUUCCCUCAAGUGUGACAGUUAAUUAUUUUUAUUUUGUUUACAUUGUGGUUCUGUUAGUGAUUAAUUGUACUUAACUUUUAUUCUUUUCUUUUCACACACUUGUUUUUAGUAACAUAUAUACAUAUUUAGUUAUAUACACUGUUUUAAUUAUGCUUAGCAUUUUGUGCAGUAUUAAAAUUCUAAUAGUGCAUUAUUUAUA
Long non-coding RNA from Seriola aureovittata, 4387 nucleotides. RefSeq lists it as uncharacterized. The transcript has 8 exons. NCBI's taxonomy places the organism in Eukaryota, Metazoa, Chordata, Actinopteri, Carangiformes, Carangidae. The record is from RefSeq and is a predicted model, not a curated record.